UACGUAGGGCGCAAGCGUUGUCCGGAAUUAUUGGGCGUAAAGAGCUCGUAGGCGGUCUGUCACGUCGGAAGUGAAAACCCGGGGCUUAACCCCGGGCUUGCUUUCGAUACGGGCAGACUAGAGUGUGGUAGGGGAGACUGGAAUUCCUGGUGUAGCGGUGGAAUGCGCAGAUAUCAGGAGGAACACCAAUAGCGAAGGCAGCUCGCUGGGACGUUACUGACACUGAGGCGCGAAAGCGUGGGGAGCGAACAGG
Molecule: ribosomal RNA, 253 nt
Filed under: uncultured bacterium
Lineage: Bacteria
Description: partial 16S ribosomal RNA
Rfam family: Bacterial small subunit ribosomal RNA
Source: RNAcentral